AGGUGGGGGCGGGCCCAGGUAGCAGGUUUGGCUGCGCGGGGGCCGCGCGUCGGAGUUUCCCCCUUUCCAGGGUGAGGAUGGUUCUACACAGCCACCCGGAGUUCCUUAGUUGAAAGGUGCGCCCCGUUGUGACAGAAUGUGGUAAUUGUAAUCUUUAACAUUUUCAUGUAAAAUGUAUUUCCUGAUCAUCUUUCCAUUGUCUUCAUGGAAAAUUGAUAAAUAUUUGUGCCUUCCAACCCUCGUCUUGGUUUAAUGACUUUAUAUUAAUACAACAUGGACACCACGUUGCUGAAAACAUGCUUUGGGACUGUCACUGAAUUUAUCUUUUGCGGUUUUAUGACAAAGUUAUUAGUAGUUUCCUUUUUUUGAAUUAGUAUUUUGAAGUUAAUAUCACAAUGAGUUCAGGCUUAUGGAGCCAAGACAAAGUUACUUCACCCUACUGGGAAGAGCGGGUUUUUUAUUUGCUUCUUCAAGAAUGCAGCGUUACAGACAAACAAACACAAAAGCUCCUUAAAGUACCGAAGGGAAGUAUAGGACAGUAUAUUCAAGAUCGUUCUGUGGGGCAUUCAAGGAUUCCUUCUGCAAAAGGCAAGAAAAAUCAGAUUGGAUUAAAAAUUCUAGAGCAACCUCAUGCAGUUCUCUUUGUUGAUGAAAAGGAUGUUGUAGAGAUAAAUGAAAAGUUCACAGAGUUACUUUUGGCAAUCACCAAUUGUGAGGAGAGGUUCAGCCUGUUUAAAAACAGAAACAGACUAAGUAAAGGCCUCCAAAUAGACGUGGGCUGUCCUGUGAAAGUACAGCUGAGAUCUGGGGAAGAAAAAUUUCCUGGAGUUGUACGCUUCAGAGGACCCCUGUUAGCAGAGAGGACAGUCUCCGGAAUAUUCUUUGGAGUUGAAUUGCUGGAAGAAGGUCGUGGCCAAGGUUUCACUGACGGGGUGUACCAAGGGAAACAGCUUUUUCAGUGUGAUGAAGAUUGUGGCGUGUUUGUUGCAUUGGACAAGCUAGAACUCAUAGAAGACGAUGACACUGCAUUGGAAAGUGAUUAUGCAGGUCCUGGGGACACAAUGCAGGUCGAACUUCCUCCUUUGGAAAUAAACUCCAGAGUUUCUUUGAAGGUUGGAGAAACAAUAGAAUCUGGAACAGUUAUAUUCUGUGAUGUUUUGCCAGGAAAAGAAAGCUUAGGAUAUUUUGUUGGUGUGGACAUGGAUAACCCUAUUGGCAACUGGGAUGGAAGAUUCGAUGGAGUGCAGCUUUGUAGUUUUGCGUGUGUUGAAAGUACAAUUCUAUUGCACAUCAAUGAUAUCAUCCCAGAGAGCGUGACACAGGAAAGGAGGCCUCCCAAACUUGCCUUUAUGUCAAGAGGUGUUGGGGACAAAGGUUCAUCCAGUCAUAAUAAACCAAAGGCUACAGGAUCUACCUCAGACCCUGGAAAUAGAAACAGAUCUGAAUUAUUUUAUACCUUAAAUGGGUCUUCUGUUGACUCACAACCACAAUCCAAAUCAAAAAAUACAUGGUACAUUGAUGAAGUUGCAGAAGACCCUGCAAAAUCUCUUACAGAGAUAUCUACAGACUUUGACCGUUCUUCACCACCACUCCAGCCUCCUCCUGUGAACUCACUGUCCACCGAGAACAGAUUCCACUCUUUACCAUUCAGUCUCACAAAGAUGCCCAAUACCAAUGGAAGUAUUGGCCACAGUCCACUUUCUCUGUCAGCCCAGUCUGUGAUGGAAGAGCUAAACACUGCACCCGUCCAAGAGAGUCCACCCUUGGCCAUGCCUCCUGGGAACUCACAUGGUCUAGAAGUGGGCUCAUUGGCUGAAGUUAAGGAGAACCCUCCUUUCUAUGGGGUAAUCCGUUGGAUCGGUCAGCCACCAGGACUGAAUGAAGUGCUCGCUGGACUGGAACUGGAAGAUGAGUGUGCAGGCUGUACGGAUGGAACCUUCAGAGGCACUCGGUAUUUCACCUGUGCCCUGAAGAAGGCGCUGUUUGUGAAACUGAAGAGCUGCAGGCCUGACUCUAGGUUUGCAUCAUUGCAGCCGGUUUCCAAUCAGAUUGAGCGCUGUAACUCUUUAGCAUUUGGAGGCUACUUAAGUGAAGUAGUAGAAGAAAAUACUCCACCAAAAAUGGAAAAAGAAGGCCUGGAGAUAAUGAUUGGGAAGAAGAAAGGCAUCCAGGGUCAUUACAAUUCUUGUUACUUAGACUCAACCUUAUUCUGCUUAUUUGCUUUUAGUUCUGUUCUGGACACUGUGUUACUUAGACCCAAAGAAAAGAACGAUGUAGAAUAUUAUAGUGAAACCCAAGAGCUACUGAGGACAGAAAUUGUUAAUCCUCUGAGAAUGUAAGUAGAAGACAAAUUGCUGUUUUGCCUUUACAUGAUGUUCUAUUUGCUGUUUUCUGGUAUAGUAAUUAAUUUAUACCUUGUCUUCAUAUAAUAAGAGAUGGGUGAAAAUUGGUUCUUAUGGUAAAAUAUCACAUUUUUAAACCUUUGGUCCUUGUACUUUUUUGCUUAUUUAAUUUCUUAAAUCUGGCCAAGGUGUAGAACAUAGCAUAUUCCAUGAAAUGAUUUAACCUGUUUUGCUAGAGUAAACUAUAAUUUAGCAAUUGCAGUACGUUUAGGAAAGCUAAUACAUAAUACUUAGGAUUCUUAUCUUUUGAAAUAGUUUAUCCAACACUUCUGCUGCAAGUAAUCAUGCUUAUUAGUUAAAUUGGUGUAGUCUAGCUUCUUAAAUCUGAAAGAAAAGGAGCAAGGGAAAUUCUUUAUAGAAUAGCUAGUGUUUAGUACUUUGGACUAGCAACAGAUGAGAUGUAUUUUAGUACCAUAUUUUUUGGUUAAAGGAAUAUAUUUGGCCUCUUUCCACCUGCCUUAAAAAGGUGAUUCUUUUUCCAUUUCCUACUUUAGGAAUUAUAAAUAUGUCUUUUUAUGGCCACAGGAAGCAAUUUGUAAUGGUACAAGCACAAGUGACAGGAGAUAUCUAGUAAGGACUUUGAAUAAGUGGUAGUAGUGAUAUGUGAUAAUAUCACAUUAUAAAAUUUAAACUAUGAAGAAUUAGGACCAUAGAUCAUAAAACAAAUUUGUUCAUUCAGGAGUAUAGAGAGAAAGUGAUUUAUUUAAAUUCCAUAUUAAGAUAAAUUUUAAUCCUUUUAUAUGCUGUUCUUAUUUAUCAAUUAAAGUAAAAAAUAGUUUGAUAUCAAAUUUGAACCAAAAAAGCAGAAUACUCAAAUACAAUGAGGAUUCCAAAUUAUCUGCUAUAUCACAUGACUAGGAAAGUAAAUUAUAAGAGAAUAAAUUUCCUCACUUACAUCUUUUGCUUUCCUUAAAUUCUGUAAUGAUUUCUCUGAUGAUCUUACCCUUUAAGAUAAUUGUGAAUCUUGAUUUUCACAUCAAUUAUUUUGUCUUAUGCAAAUUUUUAAACAUACUACUUUUUCCCCCAAGUAAUUGAUACUGGAACAAGACAGGUCAAACCCGAAACUCUAAGGCAUGUUAACACCUUCCUCCUAGAAGAGAGGAAGAAUAAACAUUCUUUGGAUCCUGUUGUUCAACCAGUUAAGAAUCAUAGUUAAUCACACUUUCUUACCCUGUCCACGGUAAGAAACUGGUCAGAUGCCCUGUUGUGAUCAGGAUUCCCUGUGUCUGUAGCAUUCAUAUCUGUAUAUAGCUGACUGGUUUUAUUUGGUGCUGAAAUCUCUGCUUUUCUUCAGAGACCCUGUCUUUUUCACCUUACUCAUUUUGUAUUCCCAGUGGCUGACAGGUUACAUUACUAUUAAGUGGUACAUUCUCAGUCUGUAUUGGUUGCAGGAAGCUAAUGAGUGAAUGAAUAGUAUAAAAAGUGGAUAUAAAACUAGCUAGUUCUGACUUGUCCUUAGUAAACUUAUGGUAGCUGCUAAGUUCUCCUCUGAAGCCAUUUUUAGAAUUAAAAAUUUAAAGUGAUAUUAAACUUAUUGAAUGUGUCUUGCAUUCAGACAAAGAAGAGAGAAAAUGUCAUCAUUAUGCCAAUUGGUUUGAUUGCAGAUUUUAGAUUUUCAGUUUCUUAUAAAUUCCCUUUCCCAUUUCCCUUGGUGGCUGUUUCACACUUUAGUAUUAAAAGGAUAUUCUCUCUCAAAAUUGUAUAUUCUGCUUUAUAAAGUAAAUGCUUUAAUUUCCCAAGCAAAUAUUAUUUAAAAAAUCAGUCACAGCAAACCUAAAAAUUUUUUGUAUUAGUGUAUGACAGUUACUUGUAGAGCAUAUAAUAGUGUCUAGGAUAAUUCUGGUUCUAGGUCUUUAAUUUUGCAAACUUCAGGAAGAAGCCUAUAAUUGUUUUCUUCAAAAUAAUUGUCUAACCUAUUGAUUUAUGACAUACUGGAGUUGUAUAAGAAAUGUGUGGGCCAGGGGCGGUGGCUCACACCUGUAAUCCCAGCACUUUGGGAGGCCGAGGUGGGCAGAUCACUUGAGGCCAGGAGUUCAAGAGCAGCCUGGCCAACAUGGUUAAACCCUGUCUCUACUAAAAAUACAAAAAUUAGCUGGAUGUGGUGGUGCACACCUGUAAUCCCAGCUACUUUGGUGGCUGAGGCAUGAGAAUCUCUUGAGCCUGGAAGGCGGAGGUUGCAGUGCGCCGAGAUCGGGCCACUGCACACUCCAGCCUGAGUGAUAGAGUGAGGCUCUAUCUCAAAAAAAAAAAAAAAAAAAAAAAAAAA
This 4668-nucleotide small RNA is filed under the name Pongo abelii (Sumatran orangutan). RNAcentral's name for it is "retained intron". Lineage: Eukaryota; Metazoa; Chordata; Mammalia; Primates; Hominidae. The record is from RNAcentral.